This is a non-coding RNA of Odocoileus virginianus texanus, 306 nucleotides long. Lineage: Eukaryota; Metazoa; Chordata; Mammalia; Artiodactyla; Cervidae. The record is from RefSeq and is a predicted model, not a curated record.
CCCGCCCAGGUGGCGGCUCCCACCCCCACCCCAGCCUGUGGGGCCAACUGUGUCCCCACCUGCCGUCCCCCAGGUACAUGGUGGAUGCCGCUGACCAAGAGAAAAUUGAGGCCUCCAAGAAUGAGCUCCACAACCUACUGGACAAGCCCCAGCUGCAGGGCAUCCCGGUUCUCGUCCUGGGGAACAAGCGAGACCUUCCGGGAGCGCUGGAUGAGAAGGAGCUGAUCGAGAAAAUGAACCUGUCUGCCAUCCAGGACCGAGAGAUCUGCUGCUACUCCAUCUCCUGCAAAGAGAAGGACAACAUCG